Molecule: long non-coding RNA, 241 nt
Organism: Polyodon spathula (Mississippi paddlefish)
Lineage: Eukaryota; Metazoa; Chordata; Actinopteri; Acipenseriformes; Polyodontidae
Exons: 4
Source: RefSeq, a predicted model, not a curated record
CUGCAUUGAAGUAUUCAGGAAGUCUGCUUCCCUCUCCCUCACUUACUGCAGGAUUAACUCAACACGAGGUGCCCCUCCAGAUCCAGAGGUUGAACGUUUCUGCUCAGGACAGUCUGGAGUGCUGACCACAGUGGCCUGCUUUGGAGAUGAUACAGGUCUCCCGGCAAUGACUCCAACUCAUUUCACCUCUCUUACCAGUCUCCCGGCAACGACUCCAACUCAUUUCACCUCUCUUACCAGU